RNAcentral lists this ribosomal RNA (496 nucleotides) under uncultured bacterium. Its description in RNAcentral is "partial 16S ribosomal RNA". It matches the Rfam family "Bacterial small subunit ribosomal RNA", at positions 28 to 506 of the family's 1533-position model. The record is from RNAcentral.
GACGAACGCUGGCGGCGUGCCUAAUACAUGCAAGUAGAGCGCUGAGGCGAGGAGCUUACUCUUCUUGGGUUAGUUGCGGACGGGUGAGUAACGCGUAGGUAACCUGCCUUUUAGCCGGGGAUAACUACUGGAAACGGUAGCUAAUACCGCAUAACAAGGGAUGCCACAUGGCUUAUCAGUGAAAGAGGGUAUUGCUCCACUACAUAGUGGAACUGCGUUGUAUUAGCUAGUUGGUGAGGUAAUGGCUUACCUAGGCGAAGAUUCGUAGCCGACCUGAGAGGGUGAUCGGCCACACUGGGACUGAGACACGGCCCAGACUCCUACGGGAGGCAGCAGUAGGGAAUCUUCGGCAAUGGGGGCAAGCCUGACGGAGCAACGCCGCGUGAGUGAAGAAGGUCUUCGGAUCGUAAAGCUCUGUUGUAAGGGAAGAACGGGUGUGAGAGUGGAUAGGCCAGUCUUUGAGGGUACCUUACCAGAAAGCGACGGCAAACUCCGU